GACGGUAUAGCUUAGUGGGAGAGUGCCUGCUUAGCAUGCACAAGGUCCUGGGUUCAAUCCCCAGUACCUCCA
RNAcentral lists this transfer RNA (72 nucleotides) under Camelus bactrianus (Bactrian camel). It matches the Rfam family "tRNA". From Rfam's summary of the family: Transfer RNA (tRNA) molecules are approximately 80 nucleotides in length. Their secondary structure includes four short double-helical elements and three loops (D, anti-codon, and T loops). The record is from Rfam by way of RNAcentral. RNAcentral also lists the same sequence under 2 other names. Lineage: Eukaryota; Metazoa; Chordata; Mammalia; Artiodactyla; Camelidae.